Molecule: long non-coding RNA, 486 nt
Filed under: Phasianus colchicus (ring-necked pheasant)
Lineage: Eukaryota; Metazoa; Chordata; Aves; Galliformes; Phasianidae
Description: lncRNA (ENSPCLG00000005483.1)
Source: RNAcentral
GAGGAGUUUGUAUUCAAAUCAUGAUCAGAAAUUCUGUUUUUCUAGGAACUGAUUGAUUCCUUUUUGAUGAAAUUUGGACAUUGAUUGAAAGUGCAGAAGAAGAGUAAUAUCACCUCAGGUUUACUUCUGAGGAAUGCAGUAAAUAGAUACUCCAUGCUUUAACCCCAAUGACUCCAACGAAAAAUUGAUGUACAAAUCUAUGAAGAACAGUCUGGAAAAGAAUAGCACAAGGAACACAGGCCCAUCCAGAAGGCUGUAAUGCCUUGCUUUUUCCAUCCUUGCUGCUGGUGCUGGUGAUACCCUCAGUGUGAAUUUCAGAUCAGCAGAUAUAAUUAAUGAUGGACUGAAAAUCAGCAUCUACAUAUCAAGACCCAGGAGCCAUUCAUUGUGCAUCCAGUUUGCACCAAGCGAUGUUGAAAUAAUGCCUAAGGUACUAUAAAGUAGUCUGAAGGAGAAAUACAAAGCCUUGAAAUCAAGCACAUAAAU